RNAcentral lists this ribosomal RNA (260 nucleotides) under uncultured bacterium. RNAcentral describes it as "partial 16S ribosomal RNA". It matches the Rfam family "Bacterial small subunit ribosomal RNA", at positions 526 to 784 of the family's 1533-position model. The record is from RNAcentral.
CGUAGGUGGCAAGCGUUGUCCGGAAUUAUUGGGCGUAAAGCGCGCGCAGGCGGCUUCUUAAGUCCAUCUUAAAAGUGCGGGGCUUAACCCCGUGAUGGGAUGGAAACUGAGAGGCUGGAGUAUCGGAGAGGAAAGUGGAAUUCCUAGUGUAGCGGUGAAAUGCGUAGAGAUUAGGAAGAACACCGGUGGCGAAGGCGACUUUCUGGAUCGACAACUGACGCUGAGGCGCGAAAGCGUGGGGAGCAAACAGGAUUAAGAUA